CAAUAGCCUAACGGCUGAACCAGCAACUUGGAGGAAUGUAUAGCGAUAGCUAAUUGCAUCGAAAAUAUGAUGCAAGAUCGAUUUCUUGAAUAAAAUUCUGGGUAGAAUUAUGAUUAUGACAUUGUCUACCCAUGUGUCUUGACCAAAUUACGUGCCAGCAGUCGCGGUAAUACGUAGAAGACUAGUGUUAUUCAUCUUUAAUAGGUUUAAAGGGUACCUAGACGGUAAAUCAAGCCCUAGACGGGACUAAUUUGCUAGAGUUACUUGUGAGGGGGUUUUAAAGUACUAAUGGUGUAGAGAUGAAAUUUUGUAAUACCAUUUUUCGAAAGGAAAGUAAUGGCACAGGUAUAGGCGAAAGCAUCCCCUUAUGUGAUAACUGACGUUGAAGGACGAAGGCUUUGAGUCGCGAACAGGAUUAGAUACCCUGGUAGUCAAAGCAGAAAAUAAUGAGUGUCAUAGAUUAGAUAUUAAAGUUUAUUCUAUAAAUGAAAGUGUAAGCACUCCACCUCAAGAGUAAUUUGGCAACAUUGGAACUGAAAUCAUUAGACCGUUUCUGAAACCAGUAGUGAAGUAUGUUGUUUAAUUUGAUAAUCCGCAAAAAACCUUACCACAAUUUGAAUAUUUAUAUCGUUGAUAUAAUUACAAGCGUUGCACGGCUGUCUUCAGUUAAUGUCGUGAGAUUUUGGUUAGAUCCAUUAAAUUAACGCAAGCCCUUACUUUAUUUUAAAAUAAAGUCGUUCCCCACUAGAUUGGAUAAGAUAACAGGGAUUAAGACAAGUCAUCAUGGCCUGAAUAUUGUGGGCUAUA
RNAcentral lists this ribosomal RNA (807 nucleotides) under Psora decipiens. RNAcentral's name for it is "SSU rRNA". It matches the Rfam family "Bacterial small subunit ribosomal RNA", at positions 369 to 1218 of the family's 1533-position model. Lineage: Eukaryota; Fungi; Ascomycota; Lecanoromycetes; Lecanorales; Psoraceae. The record is from RNAcentral.